AGCUUUGCGCAGUGGCAGUAUCGUAGCCAGUGAAGUUUAUCCGAGGCGCGAUUAUUGCUAAUUGAAAACUUUUCUCAAAUGGUACAUUUCAGCCAGGAACCUGAAAUUCCCUUUAGGCUUUCUGAAGAAA
Molecule: small nuclear RNA, 130 nt
Filed under: Sorex araneus (European shrew)
Lineage: Eukaryota; Metazoa; Chordata; Mammalia; Eulipotyphla; Soricidae
Description: U4 spliceosomal RNA (ENSSARG00000016400.1)
Rfam family: U4 spliceosomal RNA
About the family: U4 small nuclear RNA (U4 snRNA) is a component of the major U2-dependent spliceosome. The structure of U4 snRNA from yeast and human has been reported.
Source: RNAcentral